GCUGGAGACUAUGCGCAGGCGCGGUGCACUGCGCGCCGGCACGAGGGUGUUUUCGACGUUGGCUGUGGGGAAACAGCAAGCGGCGUGGACGACCGUUGCUGAGCUGGUGUGGAACGUCUGUGAUCAGCUUCUUGAACCUGAUGCCUUCUCUAGUGAGGUUAAUGGGGCUUCUGCACAACAUAUGAACAGCCAAAUGAUUACCCUCUCCAGAUGCUGGUGCCAUGCUCUUGGACUUCCCAGCCUCCUAGAACUGUGAGAAAAAAAAUUUAAAGAAUUAACAGGAGGUGGCCAAGAUGGUCAACUAGAAGUAGCUAGUGUUUGUGGCUCUCACAGAAACAAAUGGAAGGAGAGAGUAAAUAACAGCACCUUCAACUGAAACAUGCCGGUAGUCACUUUGGGAAUAAUCAAGGAAACAACCCACAAAGAACAGAGAAAAGCAAGGCAGGAAAAUGGCCCAUCUGGAAGCAGCACAGAGCCAAGGGAGCCUCCCCUGCCCAGGGAAGUGGUGAAUGAGUGUGUCACCCCGGGAACCCACACUUCUCUCACAGAUCUUUGCAACCCUUGGGUUGGGAGAUCCUGUCGUGAACCCAUUUCACCAGGGCUUUCAGUCUGACUGACACACAGAGCUACAGGGAGUCUCAGCAGAGGCCCCACAAAGGGACACAUGGAGACUUGGGAGCCUUAGAUACUAGAUGGCUUUCUGGGCAUCCCAGCAAAAGCAGAUGCAACUCCAGCAAACUGGGAGAUGAGACACCCCACCCCGUACAUACCCCUAGGAAAGAGGCUGAAUCCAGAGGGCUGAGCAGCAACAGUCUACAGGCCCCACUUCCAAGGCACCUCACAGGAUAAGACCCACUGGCUUGGAAUUCCAGCCAGCCACCGGUAGCCAAGUUGGAGCUCCUGGGGGAGGGGAAGGGCACCAUCUUUGCUGUUUGGGCAACUUAACCAUACCAGCCUUUGGGCUUUGGAAAGUCCAAGCCAACCAGGGGUGGAAGGGAUUCCCCAGCAUAGCACAGCUGCUCUACAAAAACAUGGCCAGACUUUUUGCAAAGAUCUGUGAGAGAAGUGUGGGUUUCCAAUCCUGUUUCUCCUUUCUGGGUGGGACCUCCCAGCUGGGGUCUCCAGCCACCCCUGCCAGUCAGAGUUUUGAAACCUCCCUGGGACUAAGCUUCCAGAAGGAAGGGCAAGCUGCCAUCUUUGCUGUUUAGGUGACUUAGCCAUUCCAGCCUUCAUGCCAACCACAGGGUAGAAGCGGUACCCAAGCAGAGCACAGCUGCUGUAUGAAAAUGUGGCCAGACUGCUUCUUUAAGUAGGUCUCUGAUUCUGUUCUUCCUCAUGGGGCAGGACCUCCCAACUGGGGCCUCCAGCCACCCCUGCUGGCGUUCUCUGGCCAUGAACACCUGCAGGGAGACAGGCACCCCCAUAUCCACUAGCACUCUGCUGCAGCUGCCACGCCACAGCACUUCCCAGCACAGUGGACCGUAAACCACGAGGAGCCACGGGACAAUGGCAGGGUUCAAUAUGAGUCCCCCAGAGUUAGAGAACGCAGUCCAGGAGUUGGAAUCUGAGCUUUGGCCCCCUAAAAUCUCUCAAAAAUGAAGCCAGUUGACAGAAUUCACCUUAUACCACAAUCAAACCCUCAAGGUCAUCAAAUAGGAUAAAACAAACAAACAAAAAAACCAAAGGUCAGCAACCUCAAAGAUUGAAGAUCAGCGCAAGAAUGAUGAAAACUCAAAAAGCCAGAGUGCCUUCUUCCCUCCAAAGGACUGCAUCACCUCCAGUAAAGGUUCAGAACUGGGCUGAAGCUGAGAAGGCUGAAAUGACAGAAGUAGAAUUCAGAGUAUGGAUAGGUACAGAGUUCAUUGAACUACAGGUAUAUGUUGUAACCCAAUACAAGGAAGCUAAAAAUCAUAAUAAAACAUUGUAGGAGCUGACAGACAAAAUAGCCAGUAUAGAGAAGAACAUAACUUAGCUGAUAGAGCUGAAAAACACAUUACAAGAAUUUCAUAAUGCAGUCACAAAUAUUAAUAGUAGAAUAGACCAAGCAGAGGAAAGAAUCUCAGAGCUUAGGGACUAGCUUUAUGAAAUAAGGCAGACAAGAAUAGAGAAAAAAGAAUAAAAAGGAAAUGACAAAACCUUCAAAAAAUAUGGGAUUAUGGAAAGAGACCAAAUCUAUAACCAAUUGGUGCACCUGAAAGAGAUAUGAAUAAAACCAACUUGGAAAACAUAUUUCAGGAUGGCAUUCAUGAGGACUUCCUUAACCUAGCUAGAGAGGCCAACAUUCAAAUUCAGGAAAUGCAGAGAAGCCCCAGUAAGAUACUUCACAAGAAGAUCAUCCCAAGGACAUAUAAUCAUCAGAUUCUCCAAGGUCAAGAUGAAAGAAAAAAUGUUAAAGGCAGAGAAGAAAGGCCAGGUCACAUAUGAAGGGAAGCCCAUCUUACUAAUGGUGGACUUCUCAACUGAAACCCUACAACCCAGAAGAUAUUGGGGGCCAAUAUUCAACAUUCUUAAAUGCCAACCCAGAAUUUCAUAUCUGGCCAAACUAAGUUUCAUAAGCAAAGGAGAAAUAAGAUCCUUUUCAGACAAGCAAAUGCUCAGGGAAUUUGUUACCACCAGACCUGCCUUACAAGAGCUCCUAAAGGAAGCACUAAAUAUUGAAAGGAAAGACUAUUUACCAGCCACUUCAAAAACAUGCUGAAGUACACAGACCAGUGACACUAUAAAGGAGCCACAUGUAAAAAGUCUGCAAAAUAUCCAGCUAACAUCAUGAUGACAAGAUGAAGUCCACACAUAUCAACACUAACCUUAAAUGUAAAUUGACUAAAUGCCCCCAAUUAAAGGACACAGAGUGGCAAGCUGGAUAAAGAGCCAAGACCCACUGGUAUGCUGACUUCAAGAUACCCAUCUCACAUGCAGUGACACACACAGGCUCAAAAUAAAGGGAUGAAGAAAAAUCUACCAGGCAAAUGCAAAACAGGAAAAAGCAGGGGUUUCAAUCCUAGUUUCUGACAAAACAGACUUUAAACCAACAAAGAUUAAAAAAAAAGAGAAGGGCAUUAUAUAAUGUUAAAGGGUUCAAUAUAACAAGGAGACCUAACUAUCUGAAAUACAUAUGCACCCAACACAGAAGCACCCAGAUUCAUAAAGCAAGUUCUUGGAGGCCUUCAAAGAGACAUAGACUCCCACACAAUAAUAGUGGGAGACUUUAACACCCUACUGACAAUAUUAGAUCGAGACAGAAAAUUAACAAAGAUAUUCAGGACCUGAACUCAGCACUAGAUCAAGUGCUCCUGAUGGAUAUCUACAGAACUCUCCGCACCAAAACAGUAGAAUAUACAUUCUUCUCAUCGAUGCAUGGCACAUACUCUAAAAUUGAUCACAUAAACGUUAGCAAAACACUCCUCAGCAAAUGCAAAGAACUGAAAUCAUAACAGUCUCUUGGACCACAGUGCAAUUAAAUGAGAAAUCAGGACUAGGAAAUUCACUCAAAACCAUACAAUUAUGUGGAAAUUGAAUAACCUGCACUUGAAUGACCUUUGGGUGAAUAAUGAAAUUGUAUUGGAAUUCCUAGCCAGGGCAGUCAGGUAAAAGAAAGAAAGAAAAGGCAGGAAGAGAGGAAGUCAAACUAUCCCUAUUUGCCGACAACUUGGUCCUGUAUCUAGAAACCCCCAUAGUCUCAGCCCAAAAGCUUCUUAAACUGAUAACUCAAGCUCAGUCUCAGGAUGCAAAACCGAUGUGUAAAAAUAACUAGCAUUUCUAUGCACCAACAGCAGGCAAGCCUAGAGCCAAAUCAGAAAUGAACUCCCAUUCACAACUGCCACAAAAAGAAUAAAAUACAUAGGAAUACAGCCAACCAGGGAGGUGAAAGAGCUCUACAAGAACUGCAAACCGCUGCUCAAAGAAAUCAGAGAUGACACAAACAUGAAAAAACAUUCCAUGUUUAUGUAUACAAAGAAUCAGUGUCAUGAAAAUGGCCAUACUGCCAAAAGCAAUUUAUACAUUCAAUGCUAUUCCUUUUAAAUUACCAUUGAAAUUCUUCACAGAACUGGACAAAAACUAUUUUAAAAUUCAUAUGGAACCAAAAAGCUCGAAUAGCCAAUGCAAUUCUAAGCAAAAAGAACAAAGCUGGAGGCAUCACACUACCUUACUUUAAAAUAUACUACAGGUCUACAGUAACCAAAACAGAAUGGUUCUGGUACAAAAACAGACAUGCAGACCAAUGGAACAGAAUAGAGAACCCAGCAAUAAGACUGCACACCUACAACUAUCUGAUCCUCAACAAACCUGACAAAAACAAGCAAUGGGAAAAGGUUCCCCUAUUCAAUAAAUGGUGCUGGGAUAACUGGCUGGCCAUAUGCAGAAGAUCAAUACUGGACCCCUUUCUUAUACCAUAUACAAAAAUUAAUAUGGAGUAAAGAUUUAAAUGUAAAACCCAAAGCUAUAAAGAUUCUGGAAGACAACCUAGGCAAUACCAUUCAGGACAUAGGCAUGACAAAGAUUUUUGACAGACACCAAAGGCAAUUGCAACAAAGGCAAAAAUGGACAAAUGGGAUCUAAUUAAACUAAAAGAGCUUCUUCACAGCAAAAGAAACUAUCAACGGAGUAAACAGACAAUCUACAGAAUGGGAGAAAAGGGAAGUGCUACACACUUUAAAACAACCAGAUCUCGUGAGAAGUCACUGUCAUGAGUACAGCAAGGGGAAGUCCACCUGCAUGAUCCAGUCACCUCUCAUCAGGCCCCUCCUCCAACAAUGAGGAUUACAACGACAUGAGAUUUGGGUUGGGACAUAGAGCUAAACCAUAUCAGACAUGAACACUUUUCAAAAAAAGAUAUACAUGCAGCCAACAAUCAUAUGAAAACAAGGUCAACAUCACUCAUCAUUAGAGAAAUGCAAAUCAAAACCAUAGUGAAAUACCAUCUCACACCAGUCAGAAUGGCUGCUACUAGAAAUAACAUGCUGGUGAGGCUGCAGAGAGAAAGGAAUGUUUAUACACUGUUAAUGGGAGUGUAAUUAGUUCAACCAUUGUGGUAGACAGUGUGAAAAUUCCUCAAAGACCUAGAGACAGAAAUACCAUUUGACUGAGCAAUCUCAUUACUGGGUAUAUAGCCAAAGGAAUAUAAAUUGUUCUACUGUAGAGAAACAUGCAUGCAUGUUUGUUGCAGCACUAUUCACAAGAGCAAACACAUGGAAUCAACUUAAAGGCCCUUUAAUUAUAGACUGAAUAAAGAAAAUGUACAUAUACACCAUGGAAUACUAUGCAGCCAUAAAAAAGAACAAGAUCAUUCUUUUUCUUGCAGGACAUGGAUGGAGCUGGAAGCCAUUAUCCUUAGCAAACUAAUGCAUGAAUAGAAAACCAAUUACUGCUUGUUCUCACUUGUAAGUGGGAGCUAAAUGAGAACACAUGGACACAUAGAGAAGAACAACACACACUAUCAGAAGGGUCCUAUCAGAAGGUGGAAGGUGGGAGGAGGAAGAGGAUCAGGAAAAAUAACUAAUGGGUAGUAGGCUUAAUAACUAGCUGAUUAAAUAAUCUGUACAACAAACCUCCAUGACACAAGUUUAUCUAUGUACAAACCUGCACACAUACCUCUGAACUUAAAAGUUUUUUUAAAAAAAUAUAAAAGGUUGGCCGGGUGCGAGUGGCUCACGCCUGUAAUCCCAGCACUUUGGGAGUCCAAGGCAGGUGGAUCACAAGGUCAGGAGUUCAAGACCAGCCUGGCCAAUAUGGUCUCUACUAAAAAUACAAAAAAAAAAAAAAAAUUAGCCCGGUGUGGUGGCAGGCGCCUGUAAUCCCAGCUUCUCAGGAGGCUGAGGCAGGAGAAUCACUUGAACCUGGGGGGUGGAGGUUGCAGUGAGCUGAGAUCGCGUCACUGUACUCCAGCCUGGGCAACAGAGUGAAACUCCUUCUCAAAAAAAUAAAUAAUAAAAUAAAAAGUUACCAAGUCUGUGGUUUUCUGUUAUAGCAGCAGAAAAUAGACUAAGACAGAAAAUUGGCACAAAGAACUGGGCAUCAUUGGUCAAGCCUGUAGUCCCAGCUACUUGGGAGGCUCAGUAGGCUUGAGGCCCUGGAGUUCGAGGCUCUAGUGUGUCAUGUUCUUGCUUAUGAAUAACCACUGCACUUCAGCCUAGGCAAUGUAGCAAGAUCUCUUCUCCAUUUAAGUAAAUAAUUUUUUUGUGACAAAAAAAUGGUACCUAGAAAUGGGGCUCUUGCUGUAACAAAUACCUGAAUAUGUGGAAGUGGCUUUGAAACUAAAGUAAUAGGCAGAGGCUGGAAGAGUUUGGAAGAGCAGCCUAGAAAAAUGACCGUAUUGCCAUGAAUGGAGCAUUAGGGGCAAUUGUAAUGAUUGUUUAAAAGAGGCAAGCUAUAGGGGAAGUCUGAAUCUUCUUUUAGAUUACUUACAUGGUUGUGACUGGCAUGUUGGUAGAAAUGUGGACUGUAGAGGCCAUUCUGAUGAGGUCUCAGACAGAAAUGAGAAGGUAUUGAAAACUGGAGUAAAGGCCAUCCUGUUACAAAGUUGCAAAGACCUUGACUAGGUUAUGUCCAUACCCUAGGGCUUUAUGAAAUGGAGAAUUUAAAAGCAAUGAAUUAGGAUAUCUGGCAGAAGAAACAUCUAAGCAGCAAAGCACUCAGCCUGCUGUGUGGCUACUUUUAACUGCAUUCAGUGAGAUGUGAGAGCAAAGCCAUGAUUAAAGACAGAAUUUACAAUUAAAAGGAAAGUAAAGCAGAAAGAUUUGGAAAACUCAGAGUCCAGCUAUUACAGAGUGAACUUCACAGACUGGAAAACUUUGGGAGAGAUUACUAAGCGUGUGGGCCAAGUGCUGUUUGCUAAAGAGAUGACUGCUAUAAGGGAGCCAGAUAUUCAUCAAGAUCAUGGGGGAAAAGACUCAAAGGUAUUUCAGAGAUCUUUGAGGCUUCCCCUUCUACCACAGUCCCAGAGCUCUAGGAGGGAAGGAUGUUUCUGGAGGCAGACCUGGGACAUCUUCCACAGGCUCACUCUUCAGAGCUGCCUUGGGCCCCUGCUCCCCACAUUUCAUUGCAGCACCUCUUGGCCACCCCAGCUGUGGCUCAAGCAGGCCCAGGUGUGGCUCAUGAUACCAUUCUGGAGGUUACAAACUGUAAACUUUGGUGGCAUCUACAUGGUACUAAUUCUGCAGGUACACAGAAUGUAAGAACUGUGGAGACAUGUCUUCCUUCACCAAGACCUCAAAGGAAGGCAUGGACAGCCUGGGUGCCCAGGCAGAGAUGUAUCACCAGGGUGGAGCCACUCAGAGGCUCACCAGGGCAGUGCCUAGUGGAGCUGUGGAAGUGGGGCCACCCCUAAGAUCCUGGAACUUUAGGGACACCAGUCUGCAACUCCAGCCCAAGAGAACUGAAGCAUGGACUGAGCCCUGCAAAGCCAUAGGAACAGACCUGCCCAAGGUUUUGGGGGCCCAACCCCUCACCCCCAACAAGUUAUAAGCUGUGUCCAGCAUACAGGACAUGGAGUCAAAGGAGAUUAUUCUCUGGUUUUAAGAUUUAAUGCUGUUUUUACUGUUGAGUUUUGAACUUAGGACCAGUUACCCCUUUCUUUUUGCUUAUAUCUCUAUUUUGGAAUGGGAAUGUCUAUCCUGUGUCUGUCCCACUAUUGUGUUUUGGAAGUAGAUAACUUGUUUUGAUUUCACAAACUUAGAGCUGGAGGGAGUUUGCCCCAGGUGAAUCAGGCCUUGAGUCUCAACCAUAUCUGAUUUAGAUGAGACUUCAGACUUUUGAGUUGAUGCUGGAACAAGUUAAGACUCUGAGGCUAUUGGGAUGUAAUCACUGUAUUUUACAUUGUGAAGACAUAAAUUUUGGGGGUUGGGGAAAAAUGCUACAGUUUGUAUGUAUGCCCCAGAAGUUCAUAUGUUGAAAACAAUUAAUCUUCGAUGUAACAGUAUUAGGAAUGGGGCUUUUAAGAGGUGAUUAAGACAUGAGGGCUCUUCCCUUAUGAAUGGAUGAAUGCUUUUAUCAUGGAAGUGGGUUAGUUACAGUGAGAGUGUGCAAAAUACAUUGAAAUACAUUGAGCAUUUCACAGGAGAGUAAAUAUACACAGCCAAAAAACUGAAGGAACAAGUGAAGAGGUGUUCAACAUUGUUAGUGAUUAGGGAAAUGCAAAGCAAGACCACAAUGAUACUUUAUGUCCAUUAGAUUGGUAAAAAUAAAAAUCAAAUGUUAAAGAAGAUGUAGGUCUACUGGAUUUUUAAAAUGUUAAUAGGAAUGUAGAUUGAUGGAAUCAUUUUGAAAAAUAGUUUGAUAUUAUCUCCAAAACUUCAAGUCUAGCAGUUUUACACCUAAACAUAUACACAAUAGUAAUUGAUGCAUACAUACAACUGGGGACAUACACAAGAAUGUUUAUUGUAGCACCAUUCACAAUAGCAAAAUCUUGAAACAACCAUAAUGCCCACCAACAAGAUGAAUAAAUUAUGAUAUAUUUACAUAAUGAAAUAUUCAGCAGUCAAAAUUAAUGAACUACAUCAAUAUACAGUACUAUGGGUGACUCCCAUUAAUAAAAGUGAAAAAAGUUACAUCCUAAAAGGUUACAAAUAGCAUACCAUUUUUGUAAUUUGUUUUAAACAUAAAAUUUUUCAGGACUAUAAGUACAAAAAGAGGAUGAACAUGGGAUUUCAAAUGAUGGUUAUUUGGGGUGGAUGAAAAUGCAUAAAUUUCAUUGCAGAAAUAUUAAUUUAUUUGAUUACUAAUAUAUGUAUUAUGUAUUAAUGUAUUUUUAUUAGACACCCACUGAGCAUGUAAUGUAUUAUAUGUAUUGCCUACUAAACUCCAAAAUAUUACUAAUUUCAAACUACAUCUGGAUACAGUGGUUUCAGUUAAGAGCUUGUGAAUCUGUAGAGGCCUGGAAUGAAAGGCAGAAAUGGAGAUAUAUUUUGAAGAUAAAAUGGAGGAGACUUGCAGAUAAACUUGAUUUGGGGGUGAAGAAGAGGGAAGGAUCGAGGAUGACUGCUAGGUUAGCUGGGCUAAAGGUAGUGUCCUUUCUUGAAAUGGGGAAUGGGAAUGUGGACUACAUAGGUUUGGGAGGGUAAUCACAUUGAUCUGGUAUUAAUAAAUGCUUAAAUCCGUAA
This is a long non-coding RNA of Homo sapiens (human), 9095 nucleotides long. RefSeq lists it as uncharacterized. The record is from RefSeq and is a predicted model, not a curated record. The transcript has 3 exons. Lineage: Eukaryota; Metazoa; Chordata; Mammalia; Primates; Hominidae.